This 278-nucleotide ribosomal RNA is filed under the name uncultured bacterium. RNAcentral describes it as "partial 16S ribosomal RNA". It matches the Rfam family "Bacterial small subunit ribosomal RNA", at positions 506 to 784 of the family's 1533-position model. The record is from RNAcentral.
UGCCAGCCGCCGCGGUAAUACGGAGGGGGUUAGCGUUGUUCGGAAUUACUGGGCGUAAAGCGUACGUAGGCGGAUUAAUAAGUUAGAGGUGAAAUCCCAGGGCUCAACCCUGGAACUGCCUUUAAAACUGUUAGUCUUGAGAUCGAGAGAGGUGAGUGGAAUUCCAAGUGUAGAGGUGAAAUUCGUAGAUAUUUGGAGGAACACCAGUGGCGAAGGCGGCUCACUGGCCAUUUUUGACGCUGAGAUACGAAAGCGUGGGUAGCAAACAGGAUUAGAUA